GCCCGGUUAGCUCAAUCGGUAGAGCGUGAGACUCUUAUUCUAAAUAGAAUCCAAAUCUCAAGGUUGCGGGUUCGACCCCCGCAUUGGGCU
This is a non-coding RNA of Hypoxylon trugodes, 90 nucleotides long. Lineage: Eukaryota; Fungi; Ascomycota; Sordariomycetes; Xylariales; Hypoxylaceae. The record is from the annotation of a RefSeq genome assembly.